RNAcentral lists this ribosomal RNA (774 nucleotides) under uncultured Neocallimastigales. RNAcentral describes it as "partial large subunit ribosomal RNA". It matches the Rfam family "Eukaryotic large subunit ribosomal RNA", at positions 24 to 640 of the family's 3401-position model. The record is from RNAcentral. Lineage: Eukaryota; Fungi; Neocallimastigomycota; Neocallimastigomycetes; Neocallimastigales.
AUGUGAUCGUCUCUCGCAUAUCAAUAAGCGGAGGAAAAGAAACUAACAAGGAUUCCCCUAGUAACGGCGAGUGAAGCGGGAAGAGCUCAAAUUUGAAAUCUUAAAGGGUUUCCCUUUACGAAUUGUAGUUUAAAGAAGUGUUUUCUGUUGAGGUUUUGGUAAAAGUUCUUUGGAAUAGGACAUCAUAGGAGGGUGAGAAUCCCGUAUUUGACCUUUACUUUCAACUUUGUGAUACACUUUCAAAGAGUCGGAUUGUUUGGGAAUGCAGUCCAAAAUGGGUGGUAAAUUUCAUCUAAAGCUAAAUAUUGGCGAGAGACCGAUAGCGAACAAGUACCGUGAGGGAAAGAUGAAAAGAACUUUGAAAAGAGAGUUAAACAGUACGUGAAAUUGUCAAAAGGGAAGCGUUUGACACCAGUGUUGUUUUUCUGAAAAUCAAUUAAAGAACUGUUUAUGCUAAGCUGUUUAGACUUUAUCAGCUAUCUGUUUAGUUUUGAGCUUUUCUUUAAUGCACUUUUCAGUUAACAAGUCAACAUCAAUUUCUUUUGCUGUAAAAAAGCUUGAGGAAGGUGGCUUGAGAUUCGUCUUAAGUGUUUAUAGCCUCUUGCCUAUGCUGUCGGAGAGAUUGAGGUCUGCAGCGUAGAUCCUUCGGGGCUAAAUGCAUUUGUGCUAAGUUAUAGCAUUUUAUAGACAACUUGUUGACUAUGAUUUGUCUUGUAGCUUACUCGCUUAUGUUAUUUUACCUACGCUUAGGAUGUUGAUAUGCAUGACUGAUAU